ACGAGUGAGAAAUUAUUUCUGUUAGCAUAGAGGGUCUGCUCAGUACUCACUCACUCACUCUAUACUGCUUAUCAAAAUUACACAGAUGAGCUGUGGCUGUACUUCUAAUCCCUUCUCCCUGCAAUUCAACACUCCUCUGUCUCUGCCUAACAAUGCGCAGAAGAAAAGGGUAUUACCAAGGGUUUCAAAAGCUGUAGCUUACUAUGGAUUGAAGACACCUCCUUAUCCACUUGACGCGUUAGAGCCAUAUAUGAGUCGGAAGACAUUAGAGAUGCACUGGGGAGAACAUCAUCGAAACUACGUGGAAGGAUUGAAUAAACAACUGGCAAAGGAUGAUGUUUUGUAUGGUUAUACAUUGGAUGAGCUUGUCAAAGUAACUUAUAAUAAUGGAAACCCGUCUCCUGAAUUCAACAAUGCCGCUCAGGUCUGGAAUCAUGAUUUUUUCUGGGAAUCCAUGCAACCAGGAGGAGGGAAUAUGGCUGAACUUGGGGUGCUUGAGCAGAUUGAAAAAGAUUUUGGUUCCUUCACAAAUUUCAAAGAGAAGUUUAUAGAGGACGCUCUAACACUAUUUGGCUCUGGCUGGGUUUGGCUUGUCUUGAAGAGAGAAGAGAGACAGCUUGCUAUAAUUAAAACAUCAAAUGCCAACAAUCCAAUAGUAUGGGAUGAUAUUCCCAUCCUCUGUCUAGAUAUGUGGGAGCAUGCUUAUUAUCUGGAUUACAAGAAUGACAGAGCGAAGUAUGUGAAUGCCUUCAUGGAUCACCUUGUCUCUUGGGAUGCAGCAAUGGCGCGCAUGGCACGCGCAGAGGCCUUUGUUAAUUUAAAUGAACCAAAAAUCCCAGUUGCUUGAAUAUUUUGGUUCCGGCAAUACAUGAUCAAAUAGCGUGGAGAGCCUUCCGAGUGAUUCUGACAAUGUAAAAUGUCCAAUAUUGAUCAUUGGCGCAGCAAAGUAAUUGAAACAGAUUGGUUGAUUAUGAAGCAGCAUAUGGGCAUAAUUCAGAGUAAAUUGAUGGAUCUGAAUCGUGGAUAACAAGCAAAGUCCCUUUUGAAGAUUUUGGAAAUAAACAUUGUCCAAAGUAAAUGGUGGUUACAUCAUUGAGACCAACAAUUGCUGGCAGAGGCGGAUCCACUUAUAAAAAGGUGGCCAAUGCGUGAUUAACCUAAUUGGAUAAGGCGUCUUAUCUCCG
Mercurialis annua (annual mercury) is the source of this 1184-nucleotide RNA transcript. It is a transcript of the gene named superoxide dismutase [Fe] 3, chloroplastic, with no coding region annotated. Lineage: Eukaryota; Viridiplantae; Streptophyta; Magnoliopsida; Malpighiales; Euphorbiaceae. The record is from RefSeq and is a predicted model, not a curated record. The transcript has 9 exons.